Molecule: long non-coding RNA, 981 nt
Organism: Solanum dulcamara
Lineage: Eukaryota; Viridiplantae; Streptophyta; Magnoliopsida; Solanales; Solanaceae
Exons: 3
Source: RefSeq, a predicted model, not a curated record
CUAAUUUUAAUCUUGUUUUGGCUAUAAAUUGCCAAAGUUUGGCAAUUGAAAUAAGAACAUAGAUACUGCAACAUCUCUCAAUUUUCUCUUUAUCUCACUCUCUCCUUCUUAUUUUGCUAAGUUUAAUUUAUUUUAUAACAGAUAUUAAAUUUUAUAUAUCACAUACUCAUAUUAUUAAUAUUUUCUAAUUCUUCGAAAGCGAAGAUAAAUGAUCCUAAUACAUAAAAUUGGAUUUUAAAGUAUUAUUUCAUUCAUUAAGUAUAAGAUAGUUUAUAAUUCAUAUGUAUCUAUCAUUAAAAAUACACAUUGAAGGCAAAACAAAACAGGACCAAGAGGGAACUCCUGAGGAGACACUAUCCAAUAAACAAAAGCAAAAAGUUAUUCCUGUUAUUCAUGGUUUUCAAGUGAAUUUGAGAGCUUUGGUGAAGAUAGUCCAGUGAAUAAUUCUAAUUGUGCCUUAAUGGAUAAUAACAUUGAUACUUGCAAGAUGUUGGAAAAUGAGAAGUUCAAAGAACGCAAGAAAAGUAACAUAAAAAAGCAUCAAAAGGAUUCUUUCGAGGAGGAACCACCUGACCAACAACAAGAAGAAGAUAUCUAUGGUACUUAAGGAAUUUUACAUCUUACAAAUUAAACUUAUGUUAAUUAUUUAAACUUUUUUCAGUUCAAAAGUUGAGAUAAUCCUAAAUUUUAAAGCAAUGAGUGCAUGGUGAUUGAAACUCUUGACCCACAUGGCACACAACAUACCUAAAAUGCAGUCAUUAGAUUGAAGCUCUAGUCCCACUUUUUGAACUUAUAAUUUGUUUCAAGUAUACCAUGCAAUCUUACAUAUAAUUUUCACGUGAGUCGGAGCUCAACAAAAUUACAUGUGAAGAUAGUUUAUUGGAUAGUUCUGAUCAUAUUUUAAAUGACAAUAUUGUCAAUUAUGACUUGAAACUUUUGACAAUAGUUGAAAAGUAUGAAAAUUAUCGUAUCAUACAAGAA